RNAcentral lists this ribosomal RNA (396 nucleotides) under uncultured bacterium. Its description in RNAcentral is "partial 16S ribosomal RNA". It matches the Rfam family "Bacterial small subunit ribosomal RNA", at positions 523 to 918 of the family's 1533-position model. The record is from RNAcentral.
AUACGUAGGGAGCGAGCGUUGUCCGGAAUGAUUGGGCGUAAAGGGCGCGUAGGCGGCCUGUUAAGUCUGGAGUGAAAGUCCUGUUUUCAAGAUGUGAAUUGCUUUGGAUACUGAUGGGCUUGAGUGCAGGAGAGGUUAUCGGAAUUCCCGGUGUAGCGGUGAAAUGCGUAGAGAUCGGGAGGAACACCAGUGGCGAAGGCGGGUAACUGGACUGCAACUGACGCUGAGGCGCGAAAGUGUGGGGAGCAAACAGGAUUAGAUACCCUGGUAGUCCACGCGGUAAACGAUGAUCACUAGGUGUCGGCGGCCAUAGGCGGUCGGUGCCGCAGCAAACGCAAUAAGUGAUCCACCUGGGGAGUACGUUCGCAAGAAUGAAACUCAAAUGAAUUGACGGGG